Molecule: ribosomal RNA, 446 nt
Filed under: uncultured bacterium
Lineage: Bacteria
Description: SSU rRNA
Rfam family: Bacterial small subunit ribosomal RNA
Source: RNAcentral
AGAUUGAACGCUGGCGGCGUGGCUAAAGCAUGCAAGUCGAGCGAACCCGCAAGGGUGAGCGGCGGACGGGUUAGUAAUACGAUCGAACGUACCUCGAGGUGGGGGAUAGGCACGGGAAACUGUGCGUAAUACCCCAUGAUCUCUCCGGAGCAAAGGUUUACCGCCUUGAGAUCGGCGAUCGUCCUAUCAGCUAGUUGGCGGGGUAAAGGCCCACCAAGGCUAUGACGGGUAGCAGGUGUGAGAGCACGACCUGCAACAUCGGGACUGAGACACUGCCCGGACUCCUACGGGAGGCUGCAGCGACGAAUCUUCCGCAAUGGGCGCAAGCCUGACGGAGCGACGCCGCGUGUGGGAUGAAGCGCCUUCGGUGUGUAAACCACUGUCAGGAAAUAGAACCAAUGAUCAUUUCCAAAGGAAGAGACGGCUAACCCUGUGCCAGCAGCCGC